GCGGAAGUAGUUCAGUGGUAGAACAUCAGCUUCCCAAGCUGAGGGUCGCGGGUUCGAUCCCCGUUUUCCGCUCCA
RNAcentral lists this transfer RNA (75 nucleotides) under Bacteroidales bacterium. Its description in RNAcentral is "tRNA-Gly". It matches the Rfam family "tRNA". From Rfam's summary of the family: Transfer RNA (tRNA) molecules are approximately 80 nucleotides in length. Their secondary structure includes four short double-helical elements and three loops (D, anti-codon, and T loops). The record is from RNAcentral. Lineage: Bacteria; Pseudomonadati; Bacteroidota; Bacteroidia; Bacteroidales.